UCAAAGGCUCUUUUCAGAGCCGCCACAUGCACGAUGAAAAGGCCUGU
Non-coding RNA from Canis lupus familiaris (dog), 47 nucleotides. Lineage: Eukaryota; Metazoa; Chordata; Mammalia; Carnivora; Canidae. The record is from Rfam.